This 983-nucleotide ribosomal RNA is filed under the name uncultured organism. RNAcentral describes it as "bacterial SSU rRNA". It matches the Rfam family "Bacterial small subunit ribosomal RNA", at positions 500 to 1486 of the family's 1533-position model. The record is from RNAcentral.
ACUACGUGCCAGCAGCCGCGGGUAAUACGUAGGUGGCAAGCGUUGUCCGGAAUUACUGGGUGUAAAGGGCGUGUAGCCGGGGAUGCAAGUCAGAUGUGAAAAUCCGUGGCUCAACUGCGGAACUGCAUCUGAAACUGUAUCUCUUGAGUGCUGGAGAGGGAAGUGGAAUUCCUAGUGUAGCGGUGAAAUGCGUAGAGAUUAGGAAGAACACCAGUGGCGAAGGCGGCUUCCUGGACAGUAACUGACGCUGAGGCGCGAAAGCGUGGGGAGCGAACAGGAUUAGAUACCCUGGUAGUCCACGCCGUAAACGAUGGAUACUAGGUGUAGGAGGUAUCGACCCCUUCUGUGCCGGAGUUAACACAAUAAGUAUCCCACCUGGGGAGUACGACCGCAAGGUUGAAACUCAAAGGAAUUGACGGGGGCCCGCACAAGCAGUGGAGUAUGUGGUUUAAUUCGAAGCAACGCGAAGAACCUUACCAGGGCUUGACAUCCUCUGACCGCUCUAGAGAUAGAGCUUUCCUUCGGGACAGAGAGACAGGUGGUGCAUGGUUGUCGUCAGCUCGUGUCGUGAGAUGUUGGGUUAAGUCCCGCAACGAGCGCAACCCCUGUUGUUAGUUGCCAGCAAGUAAAGUUGGGCACUCUAACGAGACUGCCGGUGAUAAAUCGGAGGAAGGUGGGGAUGACGUCAAAUCAUCAUGCCCCUUAUGUCCUGGGCUACACACGUACUACAAUGGCUGUUACAGAGGGGAGCUAAGCCGCGAGGUGGAGCAAAUCCCAAAAGGCAGCCCCAGUUCGGAUUGCAGGCUGCAACCCGCCUGCAUGAAGUCGGAAUUGCUAGUAAUGGCAGGUCAGCAUACUGCCGUGAUACGUUCCCGGGCCUUGUACACACCGCCCGUCACACCAUGAGAGUUUGCAACACCCGAAGUCAGUAGUCUAACCUAUGAGGACGCUGCCGAAGGUGGGGCAGAUGAUUAGGGUGAAGU